This 253-nucleotide ribosomal RNA is filed under the name uncultured bacterium. RNAcentral describes it as "partial 16S ribosomal RNA". It matches the Rfam family "Bacterial small subunit ribosomal RNA", at positions 524 to 776 of the family's 1533-position model. The record is from RNAcentral.
UACGUAGGGUGCGAGCGUUGUCCGGAUUUAUUGGGCGUAAAGAGCUCGUAGGCGGUUUGUCGCGUCGGCCGUGAAAUCUCCACGCUUAACGUGGAGCGUGCGGUCGAUACGGGCAGACUUGAGUUCGGUAGGGGAGACUGGAAUUCCUGGUGUAGCGGUGAAAUGCGCAGAUAUCAGGAGGAACACCGGUGGCGAAGGCGGGUCUCUGGGCCGAUAUUGACGCUGAGGAGCGAAAGCGUGGGGAGCGAACAGG